AACUUUUAGCAACGGAUCUCUUGGCUCUGGCACCGAUGAAGAACGCAGCGAGAUGCGAUACGUAAUGCGAAUUGCAGAUCUGAGCGAGUCAUCGAGUCUUUGAACGCACAUUGCGCCCGCCAGCAUUCUGGCGGUGCACCCCUGUCCGAGCGUCAGCCUACCCGUCGAGCGCCGCUCGUGUUGGGGCCCUGCGGCCGCCGCAGGCUCCGGAAGACAGUGGCGGGGACGCCGCCGCGCCGAGCGUAGUAGCGCAAGCCUCGCUCCGGGGCGGCGGCGACCCCCGCCGGGCCCGGCCCCGAAUCAAUGCUCAAGAUGACCUCGGAUCAGGUGGGAAUACCCGCUGAACUUAAGCAUAUCAAUAAGCGGAGGCU
Molecule: unclassified non-coding RNA, 371 nt
Filed under: uncultured Sordariomycetes
Lineage: Eukaryota; Fungi; Ascomycota; Sordariomycetes
Description: sequence contains ITS2
Rfam family: 5.8S ribosomal RNA (bases 1-155)
Source: RNAcentral